UUGCAUUAUUUUUCUUAGUCAAGCACUAAAUUUAACCAAUCAAAAUUUCUGAAUUUAGAAAACCAACAGUCAUUACUCAUCGCCUCUCCUUACUUUAGAUCCAGCUCAAAAACAUUUACUCAAAACCAUCCCUUGUCAGUGACUUGCUCACUGCAUUUCUCUCUAUGUCUACACAAGAAAAGAGAAACAAACACUCGAAUACAAUUUGAGUUAAAACAAAAUUUAAAAAAAGGUCUUGACAUUGGGGAAGGCAAGAUUUUAAGACAACCUUCACUAAAUUCUCUAGAUAUUUGCUCAACCUUCUCUUUCCAGUUCUUUUGUAGGGAGAGGUUUGCUCAUUUAAGAUCAGGAAACAUUCUCUCUCCAUCAACUGCAAGAACAAGAAUGCCAAUGUGAUUCUUAUUUUCUCAAAAUUCUUUAAAAAAAUAAAAAUAGAAUCACCAGAAAAUUUACAUUCACACACUACAUACUCAAAUGGGACACCUUUCAAAGUUUCUACCAUCUAUUUCUAACCACUCUUCUCUGUAUUGCUUAAAACUCAAACCCUAUGAAGGUUCCAGAGAGUAAAACAUGCUGAAAUUAUUAUUUUCAUCAUUUCUUUUAAAAAAUUAAAUCAAAAUUUAGGUGGGUGUAGUUUUGUUUUUAUGAUUUCAAUACGUGGGGAAUCAGGAGCACAAAUUUUUGUAUUUAAAUCACCCCUCCCUGUUUCACUCAUUCCAUGAUCUUGUUCAUAUUCAUUCAUUGAACACAACUCCCCUUUUUUCUCUCAAGCCAACUAGAAAUACUAAAAGGUUAAAUCUGGUUUCAGAAGAAAGAGCUGCUGCCCUAAGAAAACUUCUACAGAAAGACUGUCUGGAUGCUAAGAUACUAUACAACACCCGAAGCACACAGAUGGUGCAGAAGCUCUUUCGUACAACGUUUUCUGAUCCUCCUACAUCCCUUUCUUAGCCGCUAAACCCAAAGAAAAAUAAGGGCUUUGGCUUAUUGGAAAUUCAAAGAAGAUUUUCAAGGGUGGGAUUGGCGCUACUCUCCUCUCCUUCAAGAAAAAUCUUUUUCUCAAGAGUUGCUCAGCUUUCCAUAGGGUUGUUGCUAAAGCAGAUUCAUCACCCAGUCAGGUGAAGGUUCUAAACCUGGAAUUAAGACCGACACUGGAGGAACAGACCAGGUAUGGAGAAACGCACAAAGUAAUUGUACAGAAGCCAGGCUCACCGCGCGUCUGUGCCAAUUUUCUGAGGUGACUGUCAGAAAAGCGGGAGAGGUACCAUCGUUUCGAGGGAAUGAGAGCUUUUCGUUUUUAUCCAAAUUCUCCCAGGAUUGGCCUGGCUUUUCCUCUUACAGAUUUGCUUUGCUGUAUAUCAGUCCUGUUUAUUCGCAAAUUACUACAAAUACUCCCAGGAAAAUAGAUACCUACUACACUCACCAAGAUCAAGGAGGUGAAUCCUGACAUUCGGAAGAAGAAAUCAUUAGGAGAAAAUACGGGUCUUUGUACUUGAAAGUCUUAUACUUUGAGAUUUUAUAAACAAGUCCUGAAAUAGAAGCAAGUUAUGUUAGAGAUUGAAGUGAGGAGUGACCUCCUUCUUGACAUCACCCAUUGAAGACAAGUGCUCUUCACCAUUUUCCAGGAACUUGUUCAACCCAAAUCAAAAGAGUAGAAACAGCCCAGAAAUAUUACUGAUAUGGAAUUAUUUACAGUAAUCUUGAGGAUGGCUAGAGAAUUCUCCAGUGGUUGAAAAUAGGAGGUCUAUUACAGAGCUUAAAACUGGUGUUACUACACUCUUCACUGAUAAAAGCACAGGCUUAUUUUUUCUUGAGAGGCAUGCAGUGAAUCUACAAUGGGAAAUUGCAAAGGACACUGCUCCAGGAAAGGGGCUCUGUCACCCUCUUAUUCUCAGUUUUUAUAGGACUGAGUGAGAAUGGCCUUGCCAUUGGUGAAGCAUGGAGAAGUGUUCAGAUUAGUUGUCAGCUGUUCUGGAGGAAGCUUGAACACUGGUUGUUAAACACUGUUGUUUACACAGCAAAGAUAACAUGUGAAAGCCUUGUGGGGUGAUUGACAUCUUUAUGGCCCAUUCCACUAGGAUGAAGGGGAAAGUUGUUUUUUUUUUAAAUUUACCUACUUGUGAUGGUAUCUUAGCACAUGUAUACAUGUACUCUCAACUUCUAUCCUCCAAAUACCAGAACUUUCUUCAUUUUUUCAUCCUAAUAUUAAUAAUAUCUAUCAAUACAUUUUUUUCUAAAAUGAUUAUAACAAAGAUUCUUCAUAUCAGAAUUCCUGUUCACCUCUUUUAGUAUGCUUUCUUCUUCCAAAAAUGUAUCAUUAUUUGAGUCUCCCAGGUCUUUGCUAUUUGAAUUGAGGUAAAUCUGUAACUGUUAAAGAUUCUGAUAAAUAUAUAUCAACUCUUGGUAUAUAUUAAUUAAUAUAUAUUAACGUCAUUAUUUUAGUCCAAACUGUAUUGUGUUCAUCAAAUAACUUUCAGAGAAACUAUAUUUUUUAAUUACAGUUAUUUCCUAGUUGCACUGUAGAUAUUUUUUCUCUUUGAGUUCGUUUUGGUAGACUCUUCUUUCAUGGGAAAAACCAGGAGUUCCCAUCGUGGCGCAGCAGAAACAAAUCGGACUACGAACCGUGAGGUUGCGGGUUCGAUUCCUGGCCUCGGUCAUUGGGUUAAGGA
Non-coding RNA from Sus scrofa (pig), 2666 nucleotides. NCBI's taxonomy places the organism in Eukaryota, Metazoa, Chordata, Mammalia, Artiodactyla, Suidae. The record is from RefSeq and is a predicted model, not a curated record.